AACAGCGUAAUUCAGAGGAAGAAUGCAAGGCUCAUAACCUUGAAGUCGCUGGAUCGAAACCAGUCGCUGUUA
RNAcentral lists this transfer RNA (72 nucleotides) under Kwoniella heveanensis CBS 569. RNAcentral describes it as "tRNA-iMet (CAT) (tRNA-iMet-CAT-1-1, tRNA-iMet-CAT-1-2)". It matches the Rfam family "tRNA". Rfam says of the family: Transfer RNA (tRNA) molecules are approximately 80 nucleotides in length. Their secondary structure includes four short double-helical elements and three loops (D, anti-codon, and T loops). The record is from RNAcentral. RNAcentral also lists the same sequence under 1 other name. Lineage: Eukaryota; Fungi; Basidiomycota; Tremellomycetes; Tremellales; Cryptococcaceae.